Small nuclear RNA from Rattus norvegicus (Norway rat), 105 nucleotides. NCBI's taxonomy places the organism in Eukaryota, Metazoa, Chordata, Mammalia, Rodentia, Muridae. The record is from Ensembl.
GCUCGCUUCUGCAGUGCCCACUCUAAAAUCUGAACAAUACAGACAGAAUUAGCAUGGCCCCUGCACAGGGAUGACACAGAACUUCAUGAAACAUUCCUUAUUUUU